RNAcentral lists this unclassified non-coding RNA (390 nucleotides) under soil metagenome. RNAcentral describes it as "partial contains 5.8S ribosomal RNA, internal transcribed spacer 2, and large subunit ribosomal RNA". The stretch from base 1 to 122 matches the Rfam family "5.8S ribosomal RNA", at positions 35 to 154 of the family's 154-position model. The record is from RNAcentral.
GAUGAAGAACGUAGUGAAAUGCGAUACUUGGUGUGAAUUGCAGAAUCCCGCGAAUCAUCGAGUUUUUGAACGCAAGUUGCGCCCGAAGCCAUUCGGCCGAGGGCACCUCUGCCUGGGUGUCACGCAUCGUUGCCCCCCCAAACUCCGGUUCGGGCAGGGCGGAAGUUGGCCUCCCGUGCGUGCCUGCGCGCGCGGUUAGCCCAAAAGCGAGUCCUCGGCGACGAGCGCCACGACAAUCGGUGGUUUUUUUACCCUCGUUCCUCGUCGUGCGUGCCCCGUCGCCCGAACGCGCUCUUGCGACCCUUACGCGUCGCCUCGGCGGCGCUCCCAACGCGACCCCAGGUCAGGCGGGACUACCCGCUGAGUUUAAGCAUAUCAAUAAGCGGAGGA